GGGUAUAGCCCAGCAGUAGAGUACUUGCUUAGCACGCUCCAGGACCUGGGUUCAAUCCCCAGUACUGCA
This 69-nucleotide transfer RNA is filed under the name Marmota monax (woodchuck). Its description in RNAcentral is "tRNA.Ala". Lineage: Eukaryota; Metazoa; Chordata; Mammalia; Rodentia; Sciuridae. The record is from RNAcentral.